GGAGAGGUGGCAGAGUUGGUCGAUUGCACCUGAUUUGAAAUCAGACGAGCUGUCAAAGGCUCCGCGGGUUCGAAUCCCGCCCUCUCCU
RNAcentral lists this transfer RNA (88 nucleotides) under Erythrotrichia carnea. RNAcentral describes it as "tRNA-Ser". It matches the Rfam family "tRNA". From Rfam's summary of the family: Transfer RNA (tRNA) molecules are approximately 80 nucleotides in length. The record is from RNAcentral. Lineage: Eukaryota; Rhodophyta; Compsopogonophyceae; Erythropeltidales; Erythrotrichiaceae. RNAcentral also lists the same sequence under 6 other names.